Molecule: ribosomal RNA, 252 nt
Filed under: Triticum aestivum (bread wheat)
Lineage: Eukaryota; Viridiplantae; Streptophyta; Magnoliopsida; Poales; Poaceae
Description: partial small subunit ribosomal RNA
Source: RNAcentral
AUGUUGACCGAUGCAGCUCAUGAGCCAGCUAUCGCGGCGUUCGAGAGUUCCGUGCCGGUGAUUGCACAACCACCUUCAGUGCCGGCAGCACCAUUGCCUCCUUAUCCGCUGACAGCCAAUGGCCCCACUGAAGCUGAUGUCCGAAGCAUCCUGUCACCGCUGCUGCUGAAGGAGCUCAUCAACUCGGUUGCUGUUCCUGGGCAGACCGGACUAGGAUUGGGCUUGGGCAUGGGAUUCGGGGGCUUGGACUGA